This 495-nucleotide long non-coding RNA is filed under the name Malus domestica (apple). RNAcentral describes it as "long non-coding RNA (MDOM_LNC014432)". Lineage: Eukaryota; Viridiplantae; Streptophyta; Magnoliopsida; Rosales; Rosaceae. The record is from RNAcentral.
ACCCCAUAAAAAAUCAAAUAAAUAAUAUAAAAAAAAUAUAGAUAAUUCGAGUCCAACAUCAAAUAAAAUCCCCAAUUAGGCAAAUGCAGCAAGCCCUAAUUACAAAAUCAACGAGUCAAUGACUAAAAUCAAUGAAAUUGAGCACUAAUUAGGUAAUUAUUGUACAAUUCUAGGAAUUUGAAGUGAAAUAAGGUUGUGGAAAUUGCAUUAAUUGGAGAAAAUAAGAACAGAGAACUGGAAACUUACAACUUGAUUGAAGUGACGAGGAUCGACGUCCAUGAUUCGCCGCGUUCUGAAAUCCUACAGUGCGGAAUGAGGCUGAGGAACGGAGGUGGGUGCGGCUGAGGAACGGAGGUGGGUGCGACACAACGAACGAUUGUACGUAUCAGCUGGCGAAUCCGAGUCAGUUCGAAUCACUGGAGAUAGUGAUCAGAUCUCUAUCUGUAGUAUUCACCGUGCCUUUACUUGUCUUCUUUAAAAUGUGGGGAAAACUUG